RNAcentral lists this ribosomal RNA (592 nucleotides) under Staphylococcus aureus. Its description in RNAcentral is "partial 23S ribosomal RNA". It matches the Rfam family "Bacterial large subunit ribosomal RNA", at positions 412 to 1006 of the family's 2925-position model. The record is from RNAcentral. Lineage: Bacteria; Bacillati; Bacillota; Bacilli; Caryophanales; Staphylococcaceae.
GUACGACGGAGCACGUGAAAUUCCGUCGGAAUCUGGGAGGACCAUCUCCUAAGGCUAAAUACUCUCUAGUGACCGAUAGUGAACCAGUACCGUGAGGGAAAGGUGAAAAGCACCCCGGAAGGGGAGUGAAAUAGAACCUGAAACCGUGUGCUUACAAGUAGUCAGAGCCCGUUAAUGGGUGAUGGCGUGCCUUUUGUAGAAUGAACCGGCGAGUUACGAUUUGAUGCAAGGUUAAGCAGUAAAUGUGGAGCCGUAGCGAAAGCGAGUCUGAAUAGGGCGUUUAGUAUUUGGUCGUAGACCCGAAACCAGGUGAUCUACCCUUGGUCAGGUUGAAGUUCAGGUAACACUGAAUGGAGGACCGAACCGACUUACGUUGAAAAGUGAGCGGAUGAACUGAGGGUAGCGGAGAAAUUCCAAUCGAACCUGGAGAUAGCUGGUUCUCUCCGAAAUAGCUUUAGGGCUAGCCUCAAGUGAUGAUUAUUGGAGGUAGAGCACUGUUUGGACGAGGGGCCCCUCUCGGGUUACCGAAUUCAGACAAACUCCGAAUGCCAAUUAAUUUAACUUGGGAGUCAGAACAUGGGUGAUAAGGUCC